RNAcentral lists this ribosomal RNA (460 nucleotides) under uncultured bacterium. RNAcentral describes it as "partial 16S ribosomal RNA". It matches the Rfam family "Bacterial small subunit ribosomal RNA", at positions 338 to 795 of the family's 1533-position model. The record is from RNAcentral.
CCUACGGUGUGCUGCAGUGAGGAAUAUUGGUCAAUGGGCGUAAGCCUGAACCAGCCAAGUCGCGUGAGGGAUGAAGGUUCUAUGGAUCGUAAACCUCUUUUAUAAGGGAAUAAAGUGUGGGACGUGUCCUAUUUUGUAUGUACCUUAUGAAUAAGGAUCGGCUAACUCCGUGCCAGCAGCCGCGGUAAUACGGAGGAUCCGAGCGUUAUCCGGAUUUAUUGGGUUUAAAGGGUGCGUAGGCGGCCUUUUAAGUCAGCGGUGAAAGUCUGUGGCUCAACCAUAGAAUUGCCGUUGAAACUGGGGGGCUUGAGUAUGUGUGAGGCAGGCGGAAUGCGUGGGGUAGCGGUGAAAUGCUUAGAUAUCACGCAGAACCCCGAGUGCGAAGGCAGCCUGCCAAGCCAUGACUGACGCUGAUGCACGAAAGCGUGGGGAUCAAACAGGAUUAGAUACCCCAGUAGUC